GGGCUCACACAAGCGGUGGAGCAUGUUGCUUAAUUCGAGGCAACGCGAAGAACCUUACCUGGGCUUGACAUGUACGGAUUAACCCCGUGAAAGCGGGGCCACAGUCGCAAGACCGGAACGUGCACAGGUGCUGCAUGGCUGUCGUCAGCUCGUGCUGUGAAGUGUCGGGUUAAGUCCCUUAACGAGCGCAACCCCUGUCGUUAGUUGCUCACGGGUAAUGCCGAGUACUCUAGCGAGACUGCCGGUGUCAAACCGGAGGAAGGUGGGGAUGACGUCAAGUCCUCAUGGCCCUUACGUCCAGGGUUGCAAACGUGCUACAAUGGCGCGUACAAAGCGAUGCGAGGCCGCGAGGCGGAGCAAAUCGCAAAAAGCGCGCCCCAGUUCGGAUUGCAGGCUGCAACUCGCCUGCAUGAAGUCGGAAUCGCUAGUAAUCGGAGAUCAGCUACGCUCCGGUGAAUGUGUUCCUGAGCCUU
Molecule: ribosomal RNA, 473 nt
Filed under: uncultured bacterium
Lineage: Bacteria
Description: bacterial SSU rRNA
Rfam family: Bacterial small subunit ribosomal RNA
Source: RNAcentral